GAUGAGCGCUAGCGGCAGGCCUAAUACAUGCAAGUCGAACGGUAAGUAUGAUAGCAAUAUUGUACCAAGAGUGACGUACGGGUGCAUAACACGUAUGCAACCUACCCUUUACAGAUGGAUAGCUCGGGGAAACUCGAAUUAACCCGUCAUAGUAUAGUUGAAUGGCAUCAUUUAAUUAUUAAAACUGAGGUGGUAAAGGAUGGGCAUGCGUCUGAUUAGAGUUGGCGGGUAACGGCCCACCAAGACGAUGAUCAGUA
RNAcentral lists this ribosomal RNA (257 nucleotides) under uncultured bacterium. RNAcentral's name for it is "partial 16S ribosomal RNA". It matches the Rfam family "Bacterial small subunit ribosomal RNA", at positions 28 to 285 of the family's 1533-position model. The record is from RNAcentral.